RNAcentral lists this long non-coding RNA (4688 nucleotides) under Pan paniscus (pygmy chimpanzee). RNAcentral's name for it is "lncRNA (ENSPPAG00000044936.1)". Lineage: Eukaryota; Metazoa; Chordata; Mammalia; Primates; Hominidae. The record is from RNAcentral.
AGCUUUCAGAGGAAAGAUGCUAUGCAAAUUUGAGGUGACCUCACUAUUACAAUAAUAAUUUUUUUUGCACUAAGACGAAAUUUUUCCUUAUCCUAAAGCCUUCCUACCAAGGUAGACUUUUUUCACUGUGGGUUUUUGUGAUUUAAAUUCACCAAGCACUGAUAGUUUCAAGUUUAUUUCAGUAUUAAGCAGGAAAGCAGUUUCUGCAUGAAAUGUGAAAACUAAAAUACCAUAGUAAUGAAAAAGAUUCCGCAUCCUCAGGUGCAGCCCACGUUGUGGUGUAAUGCAAAUCUAUGGCUAUACUGUAUCACAGCGAAUAAAUCCAUUUGGAGAAAAAGGCACCUGGUGAAAGGCCACAGUGCAAUGGAAUGCAAUGCUGCUAUGUGCAAUGCUGCUUACAAGAAAACUUUGGGUAAAUAUUGCACGGGUCAAACUUACGAUCCAACUUUUUCACGUAACAGGGCCGCGUAUUGGAUGCCUUCAGAAUUCCCAUUCAGCGUGUCCACUUUGCUCUUUGAUGCAAUGCCACCUCACAAAAGCAUUCAAGCCACAGUCAUCUAUUUUUUUCCUUCUUUCUCCCCUUGCUAUAAUGACCCAAAUCUCCCUUUUUACUUUGUAAUUUUUGUAAGUUUUUUAAGGCAAUGACUAUAAUAAUUCAUGUUUGGUGAAAUAAUUCUUUUGGUUGAUAUAUUUCACAGUUUGGUCUCUAAAAAAAGUUAAAAAACAACAACAAGAACCAAAAACAAACAACCCCCCGCCCCAAGCUUCCCUCUGCUUGAUGCCAUAGACAAGAGUCCAAAGGACAUUACUUGCUCCAUUGCACACAUUGGAAGGGAGAGUUUGCUGUGAGCUCAGUCCUUCUAAUAGACUGGCAAUUUUGUAAAAGAUUUAGAGAAUUUUGUUUAACCAUUUCUGCAUGUGUUUUUAAUGAGCUCAUGACGGUUUCUAACAAAGGCCAGGUUGUGUGUUUUCCAGCACUUUCUGACCUGAUUCCUCCCUGCUGACUUGGGGAGUGGGCACCUGUGCUUCUCUCCUGGCUCACCUAUGGGAGUCGGGGUGCUGGGGCCAUCUCCGGGCCUGUCUUCACGCCAGGGAUGAAUCAUGUAGUAGGCAGAGUGGAAGGAGUCUCUUUGUUGACAGCUUUCCAUCUGGACUUUGGAUACGGCUGAUCGUUCAUGUAGAGCCGUGGUUAGCUGGAAGGGGCUACGCGAGUCAGCUGCUCCUUAAGGGAUCAAGGGUGUGUAAAACAUCAGGAAAGAACUGCCUGGGAUUUCAUUUGCAAAGCUUAGAGAAGCAUUUUAUCCUCUGAGUUUCAGGUAGCCAGGGUUGUGAAUGUGUAUGACUGCAGCUUUGACAGGUCGGUCUUUAAUAGUCAGUAGGAUCAUUUAUAGCCUCGUUCAGAUAAUCCAACUGGAGUACACCUGAAUAAAUACAUCAAGCUCAGGUGGCUAAAAGCUAACCCCUUUUGAGUUUAAUAAUUAAAAUAAACAGAGCUAUGAAGAUGAAUUUCAGUUUGUCAUGCAUAAAUGUAAGAAGCUCCAUAAAGGAUGGUGUUCUGUGAUUCAUAUAGGAGUAUGAUGGAUGUAUGAUACGUUUUCCACAGCUAUUUAAGAAAAAACGAUUAUCUUAGUCAUGGGGUAAACUUAUGUGAAGCAUUGCACCAUCCAGGCUGUGUCUGGGCCAGUACAGAUUUUUUUUCUUUUUCUUUUUCUUUCUUUCUUUUUUUUUUUUUGUGAAAGAUUACUUCUUGGCAAACUAGAUAUGCAAACGCCAGAAUACAGUAAAACCACAUUUAAUUGGACCUACUUGCCAACUUCUUGAACACAGCUUGGAUUAUUCCACUGGAGGCUGCUUCUGUUAAAAGCUGGGGGAGGAGGAAGUGGCAUAUUGACAAGACUUCAGAUAAUUUUUUUUCACUCGAAGUACAAUUAUGCAAUGAGCCAAGUUUGGAAGUAUUUUACUAUGUUUAAUAAUUAUUAUUAAAGAUAUUGUAAAACAUAUGCAUUUGUUAAGUGGAAUGUAAUGGGAGUAAAAUCAUGUCAUCAAUUUUCCUUUGGAUUUAUUUUCCCAUUUUGUGUUUUAUUUGACAGCCUUCCAAAUUGAUUCUAGCCAAAACCAUGCACUCUAAUAUAUAUCAUACUUGAUAUUAAAGUGAGAAUGCGAGUAAUUUAUAGAAUCUGAGUGAGAACAGUUUUCUUCUCUUAGCCAGCCUAUAUGGAGCUGCCACCUCUGCUCAGGUAGCAAGCGACACAUGCCUUGUACACAGAAAGGAAAAUAAGAGGGGUCGAGAAAUCCUCCACACAUCCUUCCUGAUAGACACUCCAAAACCCACAUAUCCCAGGCAUUGUUCAGUGGGAGAUCAGGGGCAAGGAGAAGGAUAACUAUUUCUUUAUGUGUGUGUGAAUCUAGAGGAACCAGACUUGUCUCUGGAAAUGCAAGUGGGAAGUGGGAUUCACUGAGAAGCCACCAUUCUGCUCAGGUGAGUCCUGACUUCAGGCGAGGGAUCCUAAAGGUGACACCGCGAUCCUUCAUCUGGAAAGCCAAGGAGACAUGACAUCAGUGUGUUUCACAUCCUAAGCUUAAACAAAUGUAUAUUGUUUUUACCGCCUCUUUCUCAAGGGGGAACACUGCCCCUGAAACUGCACUCCUUGAAACCGAGCAAAGGUGCCAUCGCUAAUGAUUAGCAAGACGCUCCGGAUGGUUUGCAUCCAACUCCACCUGCUAUGUGAAAACCCCAUGCUUUUCUCACUUUCCCAUUCAAGCUGCUUAGCAGUUGGGUCCUCUCCUCUGAGUGUGGUUAUGUGUCAGUUUGACUUCUGUGUGCCCUGCGAUUUCGUUGUUUUCUUCUGCCCUGCCACAGCAAAUGACCAGUGGAGGCAACCCGCGGACGGAGGAAAAGGGCAGGUCCCUGCAUCCAUCUCAGCGCCCUGCAGCCGGCGGCCUGUCCUUUCAGGCGGGAGUUCCCAGCGGCGUUCCUAGGUGUUUUGAAUGUGUGCCCCGGGGCUGGGGGAAGCCUCGUGCAGCUCUGCUGCUGUGGGAGGCAGGGGGGACUGGAGGGGACGGGAGCAGUGUGAGGCUUUCAUGUGCAGAGGGGACAUGAGGACAUCUGGACGGCAUCCCUGUGAGCAGGGCUCCCGCUGCAGGCCUUUGAAAACCCCGCUGCCCUGGCUCCCCAGUGCCUUGGAACUUUCUCCCUGGAGAAUGCAGAAAAGCCAGUGCCCUUGAUUUCUUAGACAUCUACAGCUUCGACACGUGCAGGGUUAUCCAGGAGCAGUGAGGUUUGGGGUGAGGGCCUGAGCACUUUCUGAAAAGUGCUUGUUUCUAAGAACCUGGAACUAUGAGUGAGGAGUGACGUGAGUUCUGCCCUCAAGUCCUCUGAUAACCAGCUGUGCAGUCUUGAACAAGUGACUUCAUCUCUUCAUCUUUAAAAUAAACCUUUUGGGCCAAAUGACUCGAAUGUUUUUCCAACUUCAUUUUUUUUUUUUUUUUUACUGUUUAACAGAAAUGCUGAUUGAACUUGGGCUGGGAACAAAGAAAUCUUUUCUAAUUAGAGUAGAAAUGAUGACUAAUAUACUGCUCAAGCUUCUGAGGCUCAUUGGGAUCAAAGGCACACUCACUCUGAUAAGGGAGGGCACUGACCGGGCUGCUGACUGUUUCCACCAGCCUUCGGGUUUUAACAUCUAACUAUAGUUAUGCCCAUGCAUGCUGGCCAUGUGCUAGACACACGCUUCCUUGUCUUUGCUGAAGUCUAGUGGCUUUUGGGUUAUUUGUAUUUUUUAACAGGAGAAACCUGAGAGAUCCUAAGUAGAUAUCAGGCAAGAGCUUGUCUAGUUCCAUGUUUUGUUUUGUAUGUUUUGUUUUGAGAUAGGGUCUUGCUCUGUCACCUAGGUUGGAGCUCAGUGGUGCAAUUGUGGCCCACCGUAGCCUCGAACUCCCGGCCCAAGUCAUCCUCACAUCUCAGCCUCCUGAGUAGCUGGGACAACAGGCGUGCGCUUCCUGGCUAUUUUUUUUUUUUUUUUUUUUUUGUAGAAACAGGGUUUUGCCAUGUUGCCCAGGCUGGUCUCAAAUUCCUGGGCUCAAGCGAUUUGCCCUCCUCGUUCUCCAAAUGUGCUAGGAUUACAGGCAUGAGCCACCGAACCCAGUCCACUUCCAUGGAUUUUAAAAAUGUUAAACACCUACCUUUAAGAAAGAUGAUGAGGCAAUAUCACCUUUGUUUUUGUUGCCGUCUAUCAGAGAGAAUGACUCCUAAGGAGUCAUUCCUAUGAGUCUUGCAGAGUGAUUUUCUGUUUGUUCAGCUCCUUCACAGAGUCUUGGUUGGACAGCUCCCCGUCACCUUCCCCGACAGGGCCUUGCCUUUGAAAAGGCUAAUUCUGGUAGACAGGCAGCUUCAACAGGAAGUGGCACACCAAGGACCAUUGCUUUUGGAUGUGGUUCAUGGGAUGUGGAGUGUCCAAGGAGAUGCUGAUAGGCCUAAAGAUCAGAGAUCAUUUGACUUCGGUAGAUUGUCAAAAGAGAACACAACACAAUUGCAAAUGGACUUUAAAAUGAGAGAAAAUCAAAUUUCUAGUGACAAUCAUAAAAAUGCCACAAUCCACCAUGGACAGCCACACCACCAACCUAGUCAUUUUUUAUAUUUCUAGCUUGUACUUAAUCCAUUCCAGCAUGGAGCAAAACGCUACCAGUGUUCU